This 346-nucleotide long non-coding RNA is filed under the name Equus caballus (horse). RNAcentral's name for it is "lncRNA (ENSECAG00000058838.1)". The record is from RNAcentral. Lineage: Eukaryota; Metazoa; Chordata; Mammalia; Perissodactyla; Equidae.
AGGAAGAUUAGCCUUGAGCUAACAUCUGCUGUCAAUCCUCCUCUUUUCGCUGAGGAAGACUGGCCCUGAGCUAACAUCCAUGCCCAUCUUCCUUUACUUUAUAUGUGGGACGCCAACCACAGCAUGGCUUGACAAGCGGUACAUAGGUCUGCACCAGGAAUCCGAAAAGAGCUGCAGGGUGAUGUCAACGGUGCUUGUCUAUGGACCACACUGCGAGCAAGCGAAAUCUUAAUGUUCAGAUGACUGCGUGCAUUUUACACAGUGGAAAUAGUUACCAUUUAAGGAGCUUGGUAUGACUCUCUGACAGCUGCGGUACCAGGUGUUUUCUGUUCUCUUGCUCUCUUAC